AGUUCGCCAGGCAGGAAGUGCAGUAGCAGGACUCUGGCUUUCCGGAGAGUCUCUGUUUUUCCUUUUUUUUUUUCCCUUUUCGCCCAAUAAAUACCAUUUUUCUCACCCUUCAAAGUGUCUGCAAGCCUAAUAUUUCAUGGAUGUUUGACAAGGACCCCGUCUUUAGCUGAACUAAGGAGAAAGUCCUGCAACACACACAUGGAGCUCAGCAAACGGAGGAUGUAACGCACAUGAAAUUUGGUGCUGUGACUCGGAUUGGGGGACCUCCCUUGGGAGAUCAAUCCCCUGUCCUCCUGUUCUUUGCUCCAUGGGAAAGAUCCACCUACGACCUCAGGUCCUCAGACCGACCAGCCCAAGGAACAUCUCACCAAUUUUAAAUCGGGUAAGCGGCCUCUUCUUACUCUCUUCUCCAAGCUCUCUCACUGUCCCUCAACCACUUUCUCCUUUCCACUCUUCAAUCUUUCCCUUCUCUUAAUUUCAAUUCCUUUCAUUUUCUGGUAGAGACGAAGGAGACACGUUUUAUCUGUGGACCCAAAACUCCGGUGUCGGUCACGGACUAGGGAAGGCAGCCUUCCCUUGGUGUUUAAUCAUUGCAGGGAUGCCUGAUUAUUCACCCAAGUUUCAGAGGUGUCAGACCAUGCAGGGACGCCUGUCUUGGUCCUUCACCCUUAGCAGCAAGUCCCGCUUUUCUGGGGAAGGGGCAAUACCCCAACCCCUUCUCUCCAUGUCUCUACCCCUUCUUCACCUUUCUGGGGGGCAAGAAACCCCCAACCCCUUCUCCUUCACCCUUAGCGGCAAGUCCCGCUUUUCUAGGGGAGAGGCAAAUACCCCAACCCCUUAUAUCUCUGCGCCCCAUCCCUUAUUUCCCCACCCCAACCCCUUAUAUCUCUGUGCCCCGAUCCCUUAUUUCCAUGCCCCAACCUCUUAUAUCUCUGCACCCCAAUCCCUUAUUUCCGCGCCCCAACCUCUUAUAUCUCUGCACCUUUGUGCCCCAACCCCUUCUCUGCUUUUCUGGAGGGCAAGAACUCCCCACCCCUUCUCCGUGUCUCUACUGUUUUCUCUGGGCUUGCCUCCUUUACUAUGGGCAAGCUUCCACCUUCCAUUCCUCCUUCUUCUCCCUUAGCCUGUGUUCUUAAGAACUUAAAACCUCUUCAACUCUCACCUGACCUAAAAUCUAAGCAUCUUAUUUUCUUCUGCAAUGCCGCUUGACCCCAAUACAAACUCGACAGUAGUUCCAAAUAGCCAGAAAAUGGCACUUUCAAUUUUUCCAUCCUACAAGAUCUAAAUAAUUCUUGUCAUAAAAUGGGCAAAUGGUCUGAGGUGCCUGACAUCCAGGCAUUCUUUUACACGUCGGUCCCUCUCUAGUCUCUGUUCCCAAUGCAACUCAUCCCAAAUCUUCCUUCUUUCCCUCCCACCUGUCCCCUCAGUCCCAACCCCAAGCGUCACUGAGUCUUUCUAAUCUUCCUUUUCUACAGACCCAUCUGACCUCUCCCCUCCUCCCCAGGCUGCUCCUCGCCAGGCCGAGCUAGAUCCCAAUUCUUCCUCAGCCUCCGCUCCUCCACCCUAUAAUCCUUUUAUCACCUCCCCUCCUCACACCCGCUCUGGCUUAGUUGGUCUGGCUUAGUUUCAUUCCGUGACUAGCCCUCCCCUACCUGCCCAGCAAUUUGCUCUUAAAAAGGUGACUAGAGCUAAAGGCAUAGUCAAGGUUUAAUGCUCCUUUUUCUUUAUCCCAAAUCAGAUAACAUUUAGGCUCUUUUUCAUCAAAUAUAAAAAACCCAGCCCAGUUCAUGGCUCGUUCGGCAGCAACCCUGAGACGCUUUACAGCCCUACACCCUAAAAGGUCAAAAGGCCGUCCUAUUCUCAAUAUACAUUUUAUUACCCAAUCUGCUCCCGACAUUAAAUAAAACUCCAAAAAUUAAAUUCUGGCCCUCAAACCCCACACCAGGAUUUAAUUAACCUCGCCUUCAAGGUGUACAACAAUAGAAAAAAGUUGCAAUUCCUUGUCUCCACUGUGAGACAAACCCCAGCCACAUCUCCAGCACACAAGAACUUCCAAACGCCUGAACCGCAGCGGCCAGGCGUUCCUCCAGAACCUCCUCCCCAGGAGCUCGCUACAAGUGCCAGAAAUCUGACCACCAAGCCAAGGAAUGCCUGCAGCCCAGGAUUCCUCCUAAGCCGUGUCCCAUCUGUGCAGGACCCCACUGGAAAUCGGACUGUUCAACUCACCUGGCAGCCACUCACAGAGCCCGUGGAACUCUGGCCCAAGGCUCUCUGACUCCUUCUCGGCUUAGCGGCUAAAGACUGACACUGCCCGAUCGCCUCGGAAGCCCCGUAGACCAUCACGGACGCCGAGCUUUAGAUGAAGAAACUGAGGUCCAGAGAAGUUAAACGACCUUCCUAAGAUUACACAGCUUAGUAAGUGGCAGAACCACAGCUGGAAGCCAGGUCCUUCCUCACGCAAGUCCUGGCUCAUUCAUUCCUCUUCCAAAGACUUGCUGAGCACCUUCUAGGUGCCAGAUGCGGUGCUGGCUCCUGGGGACAUGGGAGUGAACAGGCCAGGCGUGGCCCUGAACCAUCAAAUAGACAACCACAGAAAUAACAACGUGAGUUAAAAUGAGAUUAUGAAGAAGAGACACAGGUUUCUACAAUGGUUUAGUAGAGGGAUCUCUAACCAAGUUUGGAGAGUUGAGAAAGUCUCUAUGAGGCAGUCACAUCCAUGUAAGCUAAGAUCUGAAAGACAAAAGUUGUUAUCCAGGAGAGUGGCAGCAGGGAGAGCAUUCCAGAUGCAGGGAAUAGCUUGGCACGUUUGUGGAAGAGAAAAAUCUGUUAACGUGAUUGUAGGGUAGGGUGGAAAAAAGGAGAAAUGGAGCAAGAUGAGGCUAGGGAGGCAGGCAGGGACCAGACUACGAACUGCCUUAAAGCUCUGCUUAAAAAUGUUUGCCACGAUUUGAAGAGUAAUGGGAAGCCUUGAAGGUUUUUAACCAGAAGAGUCUUAUAUUUAGAUUUGUUAUUUUUUAAAUAUCACACUGGCUGCUGUUUAGGAAUGAUGCUGGAGGCUGACGAAGAUAAGGGUGGAAAGUGGGCAAUAAAUCAGGAGCUGUUGCAACAUUCCCAGCAAAGGAUAAUGGUGAAUGUAAUGGCAAUGGGGAUUUGGGGAAGCAGGGGGGCCUCGUGGCUGAUUGGAUGUGGUGUUGGUGAGGGAGGAGGGGUCACAGAUUUCCAUCCUCCCAUGGGUGUUUCUAUCUCCCAGGCUAGGCUUCUUGUGUUUGCUUUCCUUCUUGCAGAACAAAGACAAAACCGGGCCCUUCCACACAGUAGCUGGAACACAAAGGAAGAUCAGCCAAGCCUCAACAUAAUCUCAUAAAAAUUCUUCAAAUAUCCCAUUGUUAUGGAUUCAUACAUCAGGAAAGCAGAUGCCAAGAACCUGAACACCUUCUACUGGUAACAUAUAUUUUGGCGAGCCAGCCUGGAGACAAGGUAGGCCCAAAGUUUGGGAUUUAUUUUUCUUUCCCCUUUUACAUACAGGGAAACCUUUUUCUCUCUCUUUUUCCUUUCCAACUUGGGACCCUCCGUGAUCAGCGCCUAAACAUAGAGACAACUGCAAGUUUCCAGCCAGGGCCACUCUCUGGUGAAACCUACAGGUUUCCAUGUGACGCAUCUGACCACCACCACCCGGCUGGGUGGGCAACCUGAGUCCUUUUCCUUGGUUUUGUUUUUCUGAGUCCUAUUCCUUUCUCCCUUUUACUGAGUUAUUUUUCUUUUUCCUGUUUCGGUCUUUCAGCUACUCCUAGUAGCUCCCGGUUAAUUGAGGACAGCUGGCCGGGGCCACUCUCGGGUGCCUUCUGAAGGCCAAGAAACGAAAAGGGAUGGCUGCCCUGCCCAGAAGGGGGAAGGACUUUUUUCUAUCUCUCCGGUUAGAGUUCCUCAUCCCAACAUGUGACGCAAUUGCUGUGGCAGCUCAUCCAGGGUGAACUCACACAUGUUUCAGACAACUUAAACCUUCUUUCCUCAUGCCAAAUUCUUCCCUUCCUCCAUUCAGCUGUCUAAGGACAAGAUAGAGGGUUCAGAUAUGUCAUAAAUUGUGAGAAUUAGGGAAAUUAACAAAGGGGAUUUAUGCAGGAACUGACGUGUAGGUUUACUGCCCAAAUUUAUAGAGUUAAAGGGUUGCUUUAACUGGGAUAGAAAAUCCUCAAGGAAAAGUUAACAGUAGGUCCUCAGUGGAGGAGGGAACCAUUCCAAAGUGGUGCCGGCACCCAUCUAAGGUUGGAGAUGUGCAACAGACUAAGUCAGACCCUUAAGGGGGAAGCCCUCAGGGACCCCGUGCUGGGCCCAGAAUUUUUCCAGGGGAAUGCCCCGGGUAAAAUUUGGGUCACCUAAUAAACCCUCCACUUUUCAAAGUCCUCUUCUCUUUUCCAGACCACUAUGGGCAACUUCCUGUCUAUUCUACCUGGUGUCACUGUGGACAACUUCCUAUCUAUUCCACCCGAUUCACCGCUUGGCUACAUCCUCCACCAUUGGGAUGAAUUUGACCCUAACAAUCUAAAGAAAAGGCAUAUGAUUUUUUACUGCAAUAUUGUUUGACACAAUUAUGAGCUGCCCAAUCCGGAACAAUGGGCAGUCAAUGGUAGCCUUAAUUAUGAUACCAUCCUGUAUCUAGACCUAUUUUACAAGAGGCAGGGCAAAUGGUCAGAAGUCCCACAUAUACAGGCCUACAUGACCCUAUACGAAGACCUAAGAAUCUAGGAAACUCCCAGAACCCAUCCCCCGAAGGAAAGUUCUGGGGCAGAACUAGAUAUUAUAGAUGAACCCCCUUUUACAAGGGAUACCUGUCUCUCAGAGUGAGCAGUGACUGUCCCCAUAUAACCCCUCACCAAGUGCUCCUGAGGCUGAAACCCAGGGGCAAACAUGGGGAACCCUACUAAGUCCCCCUCACACUUGGAGGGGAACACUGUAUUCAACUCUCUAUCCAGCCCUGCUACUCUCAGAGAAAUAGCAGGGGCUGAGGGGCCAAUCCUAGUGUGGGUCCCCUUCUCUAUGAUUGAUAUACAACAAUGUAAGGAAAAGCUAGGAAGCUAUUCUGAGGAUUCCGGGAAGUUUGCAGAUGGGUUCCAAACUUUGACCUUAGCCUUUGAUCUCUCAUGGAGAGACGUUCAAUUCACUCUAGCAACCUGUUGCACCUCCUCGGAAAAGGAACGAAUCUUUGAGGCUGCCCUCCGAGAAGUGGACGAAUUAUUCACCCAAAACCGUAAAGGCAGUCACCCAGGCCCAGCCACAGUUCCCACUACGCAUCCUAAUUGAGACCAAGACACCCCCGCAGGAAGGAACAACUGGGCUAAAUUUCUUGAGGCUCUUGGAGGAAUGAGAAAGGGAAUAACUAAGGCAGUAAAUUAUGAUAAAGUAAGGCAGAUUACACAAGGCAGGGAGGAAAACCCAGCUGUGUUUUACGGCAGGCUGCGGGAAGCCUUUAAAAAAUAUAUACUAAUUUGGUCCCUUCCUCUCCUGAAGGCAAGUUAUUAAUGGCACAACGUUUCAUUAGCCAAUCCACACCAGACAUUAGACGUAAGCUCCAAAAGCUACACAUGGGGCCACAAACUAACCAAAAUCAGCUUCUUGGUACUGCCUUCAUGGUGUAUAACAAUCGUGACCUGGAGGAAGGAGAAGGGAAACAGAGUAAAGAAAAACGGCAAGCCAAAAUUAUGUUAGCCAUCACUGGUGAUGCCCUAAAUGCACAAAGAUUGUCCAAGGGAAACUCAAAGGGCCAUAAGGAUAAUGCCAGCAAAGGCUCUUGCUUCAAAUGCAAUAAAAGUGCGAUUGGGCACAGGAAUCCACUAAGCCCCCGCCAGUCCCCUGCCGUCAAUGUAAAAGCACCAGUUGUGGCUCCUGGCCCUGGAGAAUUGACUGUCCCUGCUCCCACCAAGGGGCUCAGUCAGUCAAAACUCUGGCAGUGCACAAGGAGGAAUCAGAUGAAGACUGAAGGGGCCUGGGGCCUUCCUCACUGCCCCGUCUAGGAACAUUGUAAUUACUACUGAGGAACCCUGGGUAACUCUGGACAUCAUGGCCACCCAAAUUCAGUUUUUAUGUGAUACCAAGGUGAAUUAUUCUGUACAACUGCUUAUGCAGGAAAACUUUCCUCCCGGUCCAUGAGUGAUAUUGGAUGGAAGGGAAGCCACAAACAAGAUUCUUACUCCUCCUUUGGUUUGUCAAUUUGAGAAACAAAUCUUCCAACAGGAAUUUUUAGUAGUACCAAGCUGCCCAAUUCCCCUGUGGGAAAGAGAUAUUAUGGUGAAAAUAGUGACACUACUGCAAUUUAAGCAAUAUUAGCAGGUGAAACUGCUAAUAGUAAGAAAUAAGGCAAUGUCCCAGACCAUGUCAAUAAACAGGUUAACCCACUGGCAUGGUAUACUGGAAACCCAGGGAAGGCUAAAACAGCAGUGCCAGUCAAAAUACAGCUUAAAGACCCCAGCCAUUUUCCCAAUGGAAAACAAUACCCAGUUGAACAGGAAGCAAGCAAAGGUCUAGCUCCCAUAGUUGAGAUAUUACUUACCCAUGGACUCUUAAAACCCUGCAAUUCUCCCUGCAAUACCCCCAUCUUACCUGUUCUCAAGCCUGGGGGGAAUACCAGCUAGUACAGAACCUCAGAAUAAUGAAUGAGGCUGUUAUCCCCGUCCACCCAUUGGUGGCAGAUCCAUAUGCCCUCCUGGCUCAGGUGCCAGGGCAUGCAAAAUGGUUCUCAGUCCUAGACCUUUCUUCUCCAUUCCUCUGGCCCCGAGCCCCCCAGUACCUUUUUGCUUUCGAAUGGGAAAAUCCUAAUACCAGAUAAAAACAAUACACUUGGACAGUGCUUCCUCAGGGCUUUCGGGAUAGCCCCCACUUCUUUGCCUGAGCAUUAGAGCGGGAUCUGAGGGAUUUCAAGUUAGAAAAUGGAGGUAUUCUUCAGUAUGGGGAUGACCUUGUGUGUAGCCCAACCUAGGAGGUUUCUGACCAAAAUACUAUAAAAACUUUGAAUUUCCUGGCAGACAGAGGAUACAAAGUGUCCAAAAAGAAGGCUCAGAUUACCCUCCAAUGGGUCCACUAUUUAGGAUAUGUCUUAACACCCGGAACCCGGCAAAUAUCCCCAGAAGGAGUGCAAGCUAUAUGUGGUUUGGCCGCGUGCACCACCCCCAGCCCCCACCCUGACCCACCUCCAAGCAGCAGCUUUGUUCCUUUUUGGGGAUGGCCGGGCUUUGGAGAAUAUGAGUACCAAAUUUUGGGCUCAUAGCAAAGCCCCUAUAUGAAGCAACAAGGGGGCCUGAAAAUGAGCUAAUGGAAUGGACCCCGGAAAUGAGGAAAGCCUUUGCCAAGUUAAAACAGGUUCUCACCCAGGCUCCUGCUCUUGGUAUCCCAGACCUAAUUAAGGCCUUCUCCUUGUAUGUAGCAGAGAAGAGGGGCAUAGCUGUGGGAGUGCUAGCCCAGAAAUUAGGAUCAGAACCCAGACCAACCGCCUACUUCUCAAAAAAGUUGGACGGAGUGGCCUCAGGAUGGCCAAGUUGCCUGCGGGCAAUAGCAGCCACUGCUGUUAGUGGAGGAAGCCACUAAAAUCACCCUAGGGCAACCACUGGAAGUUCUAACGCUCCAUCAGGUAAAGUUAGUCUUAGAAAUAAAGGGACACAUCUGGAUGACAGGGGAAAUGUUAACUAAAUACCAGCCCAUGCUCCUAGACAAUCCAGAUAUAACUCUUAAAACCUGCAACACUUUAAAUCCAGCUUCAUUGCUGCCCACAGGCCCAAUAAUUGAUCAUUCCUGUGAGCAGGUCAUUGCACAUACAUAUGUUAGCCAGCCUGAUUUAAAAGAUGAGGCUCUCCCAGAUUCUGAAGCUGACCGGCUCACAGACGGCAGUAGUUCUUUGUCGAAUGGGGAGCACAGAGCUGGAUAUGCAGCAGUAAAUCAUGACACAAUUAUUGAAGCCCAGCCAGUGCCCCCUGGCACAUCAGCACAAAAGGCUAAAAUCAUUGAUCUUACUCAAGCAUUAAUGUUGGGACAAGGGAAAAAACUUAACAUCUAUACAGAUUCUAAAUAUGCAUUCCUUGUGGUUCAUGCUCAUACCGCCAUCAGGAAAGAAAGGGGAUUACUUACUAGCAAGCACUCCCCUAUAGAGCAUGGACCUGAAAUUCUGCAGCUAUUGAAGGCAAUACACCUGCCAAAGGCCAUAGCUAUCAUUCAUUGUAGGGGGCAUCAAAGGGACUUAACCCCUAUAGCACAAGGGAAUGGAAAGGCUGACGGAAGCCAAAGCAAAAGCCCUCAGCGUGCAAUCCCAACAGAUCCUAGCACUGCUUCCUUUCUACAAUUCCCCAGUAGAACCCAAAUACACACCACAGGAAGAACAGCUAAUAAAAAAAGCAAGGGAGACAAAAACAAGGAUCCUGGUGGCAUAUGGAGCCAAAAAUAUAUCUCCCUCAGGCAGCCCAGUGGAGAGUUAUAAAAGCCCUGCAUGACUCUUUCCAUGUGGGGAGGGAUGCGGCUCUGGCCAUGGUAAACAAGUUCUUUACUGGGUUUAACUCAGCUUCAAUGGCUAAGCAGGUCUGUCAAGCCUGCUCACUGUGUGCAUUUAACAAUCCAGGCAUCAAAAUGCCCCCUCUAAUAAAACCAGUCCAAAGGAGGGGAACUUAUCCAGGGGAAGACUGGCAGUUAGACGUCAUCCAUAUGCCAGCUUGCAGAGGAUACAAGCUUUUGUUAAUACUAAUAGAUACUUUUAGGUUGGGUCAAAGGUUACCCCAGAAAAGGCUAAUGAGGUUCUAAGGUCCUCUUAAAAGAAAUAAUUCCCCAGUUUGGGUUACCUCAGGGUCUCCAAAGUGAUAAUGGCUAAUCCUUUAUCUCCCAAAUAACUCAAGGGGUUGCUAAGGCUCUUGGAAUAAAAUACUAUUUACAUUCAGCCUGGAGGCCCCAAUCCUCUGGAAAAGUGGAAAGGGUUAACCAAACUCUAAAAUAAGCACUAGCUAAACUAUGUCAGGAAACAUCAGAAACUUGGGUUAGCUUAUUGCUCACAGCCCUUUUAAGAAUUUGUAAUACCCCUAGCUCAAAAAUUAACAGAAGCCCAUAUAAAAUGUUAUACAGAAGGCCAUUCUUAACUAAUGAUUUAAUUAUUGACCCAGAAAGAGUUGGUGUAAUUAAAUACCUAGUCAACCCAGAACAAUUCCAGCGGGUUUACAAGAGUUUGGAAUUCAAAGGCUCCUCACACUUGGAACUAACCAGCAACCCAAAAUCAGGCCAGGAGAUAGGGUACUUGUUAAAACAUGGAAUGAGGGAUCACCUGCCCAACAAUUACAACCCCAAUAGAAGGGACUUUUUUCAGUAAUACUGGCCACGUCUUCUGUGGUCAAAGUACUAGUAUUAGAUAGCUGGAUACAUCUUUCAAGGAUCAAACCAUCAAUACCAGAAGCUCCAGACCAGGAACCUGAAGUUCCCAUCAGCCAGUACACCUGUGAACCAGUGGAGGACCUGAAGUACCUGUUUAAAAGAUAGCCAAAAGAUAAGUAAAUGCCUACCAACUUUCUUUGGUGUCUUUGUUGCAUAGUUACUGUGGGCUGGAAAAUAGUAGCCAUUUUUAUCUUUGCAGUUUAAUUGCCUUCUUCCAAAUAGAUAAAAAUCACUUCCUUUGUAAUAAUUAAACAGAAUUUAAAAAAUACAUUUCUAUGACAAAUAUUCCUGAUGGCAUAAGUAUCCACCCCAAGGUUCCCAUUAAAUCUUUUAACCUAAAGUAUUUCCUCUCACCUAGAGAUCAUCGAGCUGUGUGACAAGGGUGCCAGCCACUCCAGGUGAAGACACCACCCCAGGCCAUCAAGGAUCUUCCCUACCUUCACUAAACAGAGCAGGGUGAAAGUUGUGUGAUCCCCAAUAGGUAGGGACUACACCCCAAGUCAGCAGGAAGCAGUUACAGAAGAAAGACCAUUGGUCCCUCUGCUUCCCAUAAAGAUUUAUGGGGAUCACAGCUUUCACGGGGGAGAUGAGGCAAGAGAAUAGGGCAUGCAGGCAGGGUACUUGAGGCCAAUCCACGCUGACUUCCUAGAACUGAAUUAAAUGAAAGCUCCUCAGCAAUGACAGGAAUGUGAAUGGCUUUGUAACUUCUUCCUCUCCAUUAAUGCUAUUUCCACUUUGUAACUUCACUUUCAUCCUCUCCAUUUACAUAGAUCACACACCAAGUAACAUCCUCUCCAUUUACAGUAGGGCGCAUUCCGAGUCAAUGACUCUGACUGCACUUCGUUCUCCUCAUUUACAUAGAACAUUCGCCAAGUAACCAAUGGGAAACCUCUAGAGUAUUGAAACUCCAGAAAAUUCCGUAAGUGGGGCUCUUGAGCGUCUACACUCGGGUCGCUCCCACACUGUGGCGUGUACUUUUAUUCUCAAUAAAUUCCCGCUUUUGCUUUCCUCGUUCUGUUUGAGUGUUUUGUCCAAUUCUUUGUUUGAGGCGCCAAGAACCUGGACACCUUCUACCAGUGACACUACCAAUUUUUGAUUCCAUUAAAGAUCACAGGUAUUUUCUGAACAUUUACCCUGUACCAGUCUUGCAGGGUCCAAACUCCUGUUAAAGAGCUUGUGGGCUAAUGGAGGGAGCAGGCAUGUGAACAAGCAAAUUAUGAAAUAGCGUGCAGAGUACAGCAGUAGAGAUGUAUUCUAGGAUCAGAGGUCACACAGAGGAGGGGUGCCUGAUUAACUGUGCAGGGAGAC
This 10701-nucleotide long non-coding RNA is filed under the name Homo sapiens (human). RNAcentral describes it as "non-protein coding lnc-PIWIL4-1:10". The record is from RNAcentral. Lineage: Eukaryota; Metazoa; Chordata; Mammalia; Primates; Hominidae.